Molecule: transfer RNA, 50 nt
Filed under: Anolis chrysolepis (goldenscale Anole)
Lineage: Eukaryota; Metazoa; Chordata; Lepidosauria; Squamata; Anolidae
Description: partial tRNA-Trp
Source: RNAcentral
AAACUUAGGUUAAUACAAANCCAGAAGCCUUCAAAGCUUCAAAUACGGAA